AGCUCCAAUAGCGUAUAUUAACGUUGUUGUUGUUAAAACGCUCGUAGUUUUCUCUCUUCUGUCUUCGGGCGGUUCGCUUUUUUGAGUGCUACUGCUCUAUAGGCCGUGGUUUUGCCAGAGGUCUCGGGGUGCUCUUAACCGAGUGUCCUGCGAUGCUGGCAGGUUUACUUUGAAAAAAUUAGAGUGCUCAAAGCAGGCUUUUACGCCUGAAUAUUCGUGCAUGGAAUAAUAGAAUAGGAAGUCGUUUCUAUUUUGUUGGUUUUCGGAAAUCGACUUAAUGAUUAAUAGGGACAGUCGGGGGCAUUUGUAUUCAAACGACAGAGGUGAAAUUCUUGGACCGUUUGAAGACAAACUACUGCGAAAGCAUUUGCCAAGAAUGUUUUCA
RNAcentral lists this ribosomal RNA (385 nucleotides) under marine copepod environmental sample. RNAcentral describes it as "SSU rRNA". It matches the Rfam family "Eukaryotic small subunit ribosomal RNA", at positions 587 to 972 of the family's 1831-position model. Lineage: Eukaryota; Metazoa; Arthropoda; Copepoda. The record is from RNAcentral.